Non-coding RNA from Acanthosepion pharaonis, 110 nucleotides. Lineage: Eukaryota; Metazoa; Mollusca; Cephalopoda; Sepiida; Sepiidae. The record is from the annotation of a GenBank genome assembly.
UGGCCCCAUCAUUUUGAAACACCGGUUCCUGUACGAUUACAGAAGUUAAACAACGUCGAGCUUGGUGAGUAUCCAGAUGGGUGAACGCUUGGGAAUAAUAGAUGAUGUAG